GAGGGUGUAGCUCAGGGGUAGAGCGCAUGCUCAGCAUGCACGAGAUCCUGGGUUCAAUCCCCAGUGCCUCCA
RNAcentral lists this transfer RNA (72 nucleotides) under Camelus bactrianus (Bactrian camel). It matches the Rfam family "tRNA". Rfam says of the family: Transfer RNA (tRNA) molecules are approximately 80 nucleotides in length. Their secondary structure includes four short double-helical elements and three loops (D, anti-codon, and T loops). The record is from Rfam by way of RNAcentral. Lineage: Eukaryota; Metazoa; Chordata; Mammalia; Artiodactyla; Camelidae. RNAcentral also lists the same sequence under 1 other name.